GGGUCGGGUAGGGUGGGGAGGCUCGCCACCUCCUGUACCCGCGUGGCGUAAGGCGGGCACCAGUAACCUCUUCCCCACGGCAAGGAAUAGCCUAGGUCCAGACCGUACGAUGAGGAUCGCCCAGUAGGGUUAACGGCUAUGGGCUUUCCCUUCGGAGGAAGGGAAAGUACCAUACUUACCGGGUGAAUCGGCCAGGCCCGGAAGGGAGCAACCGUAGCCGGACGUUAGCGCUUACUGGUCACCGGUUCGAGGAAGGUCUGGGUUAAGCCUGGGUUAUUCACUACCGCGGGGGAGGGGGGCCGACCC
This 306-nucleotide signal recognition particle RNA is filed under the name Candidatus Aramenus sulfurataquae. RNAcentral's name for it is "Sulfolobales archaeon AZ1 Archaeal signal recognition particle RNA". It matches the Rfam family "Archaeal signal recognition particle RNA". Lineage: Archaea; Thermoproteati; Thermoproteota; Thermoprotei; Sulfolobales; Sulfolobaceae. The record is from Rfam by way of RNAcentral.